Non-coding RNA from Pelobates cultripes (western spadefoot toad), 298 nucleotides. The record is from the annotation of a GenBank genome assembly. NCBI's taxonomy places the organism in Eukaryota, Metazoa, Chordata, Amphibia, Anura, Pelobatidae.
UGAAACAGUAUGUUAUGCAGAGGACAGAUGGAGAUGGGCAGAUAGGACAGUAUUAAAUGGAAUCCUUUCAAACUCCUUUCUUAUGGCAAACAUGACACUUUCCCUGGGGUGAUUAAUUUACAUGUGCGAGGGAUUAGGGAACAAAAGUGCUUAUCACAAAGUCUCUGGAUAUCCUUUGAUUCCAAAGAGGGAGGAUUUGGGGACUGGGUAAAUAAAAUAUCGGGCAAAAGUUUUAAUAUUUAAUGAAGGCUGCUUUUUUACAGCACUUCAUUAAAUAGACUGCAAUUUUCUUGUACCA